CUUCAUUUAGAGGAAGUACAAGUCGUAACAAGGUUUCCGUAGGUGAACCUGCGGAAGGAUCAUUAACAAAUCAUCAUAGUCAUGCGCUUUGGCGCACGACUAUAUACACCCUUUGCUUGGGAAGAGCAGCGAUGCUUGGAACAGCUUUGGUUGCAAUCCGCAAGGAUUGUAGGCUAGCCGAAAGGUUAUGCCACAUAGACGCUUGCUUAGUUUGACAGAGUUUAGUUGCAAUCAAAAAGAUACAACUUUUAACAAUGGAUCUCUUGGCUCUU
This 272-nucleotide unclassified non-coding RNA is filed under the name fungal sp. RNAcentral's name for it is "partial internal transcribed spacer region". The stretch from base 1 to 65 matches the Rfam family "Eukaryotic small subunit ribosomal RNA", at positions 1767 to 1831 of the family's 1831-position model. The record is from RNAcentral. Lineage: Eukaryota; Fungi.